GUUAAAGCUGGUCAGUAUUUGAGUGGGAUUGGGAUUUAUAUUUUAAACUAUAUUAAUGCAGAAUUUGUUUGAAGUUACAAACUCUGCUUUGAAUUUGCCCUAUGCAUGUUUAGUAGACAUUUCAAAUUGUAACUCAUGCUAUAACAAAGAUGCAGAAAUGCAAAAGCAAAGAAAUUCCUUUCCAGCCACUGCUUAAGCAAUUUUAAGGCAUGUGUGUUUUCCUCAGUUAUGCUAUGCUGGAAAUGCUUAACCCAAUGACAGUUGCUUUCUGUAGACAUCUUUGAUAACAGGCUAUCAAAACAGAUGAAUAUGGCAUUUAGGCUGUCUGUCAUGGUAUAUUUUACUUUCUAGCUACUCAGUGUUCAAUUUGAUAGGUGAAAUGGGAACAUUUGAGACUUGUAUUAAACAUUUCAUAUUGCAAAUUAAUUUAAAUGAUUAGCUAUGGGGCAUCUGACUAAAGUGGCAAAUGCUAAAAUAUUAUCUGAGAGCUCAAAAUAUCCAAGCAUAGUUAAAUUUUAGAAUGCACUUUGGAGUUACAGUGAACUAAGAACUAAGAAAAUGAUUUGUGUUUUAAUUUGAGGAUCUACUCCAAAAUAUUGUCUUGGAAAAGAUACCAGACUCAAAAUAUUGCAAGUCCCAUUUUCUGUUCCCUUUGGGAUGGACAGUACUGACUGAAAGAACAUGACCUUAUACCUAUAUUCAUGGAAUAGGUAAAGUCAAUUAAAUAUGAAAGUGCUCUGUCUUUCACACACUGUGAUUCAAAGGGCAGCGAAGGAAAGAAGGCAGUGGAGGCUGGGUGAAUCGCUGGCAUGGAGUAGAGAAGCUUCAACCUCCAGCCUCCUGCAAAGAUGUCUGUGUCCAUUCCUAAGAGUACAGAUAAAUCCCUUAAAGAAAUCUCUAUACACACAAAAUAUCUCUUAA
This 921-nucleotide long non-coding RNA is filed under the name Anas platyrhynchos platyrhynchos (common mallard). Its description in RNAcentral is "lncRNA (ENSAPLG00000019096.1)". Lineage: Eukaryota; Metazoa; Chordata; Aves; Anseriformes; Anatidae. The record is from RNAcentral.